This 137-nucleotide non-coding RNA is filed under the name Lachnospiraceae bacterium MD308. Its description in RNAcentral is "Lachnospiraceae bacterium 3-2 FMN riboswitch aptamer (RFN element)". It matches the Rfam family "FMN riboswitch aptamer (RFN element)". Rfam says of the family: The RFN element is a highly conserved domain that is found frequently in the 5'-untranslated regions of prokaryotic mRNAs that encode for flavin mononucleotide (FMN) biosynthesis and transport proteins. This element is a metabolite-dependent riboswitch that directly binds FMN in the absence of proteins. The record is from Rfam by way of RNAcentral. RNAcentral also lists the same sequence under 1 other name. Lineage: Bacteria; Bacillati; Bacillota; Clostridia; Lachnospirales; Lachnospiraceae.
GAAAGUCUUUGUGGCAGGGUGCAAGUCCCUACCGAUGGUAUAGUCCAUGACCCGCUUUGGCGGCUGAUCCGGUGACAUGUCUUUGACGGCGUGAAUUCCGGGACCGACGGUUACAGUCCGGAUGAGAAAAGACAUUU